UACAGAGGGUGCAAGCGUUGUUCGGAAUUACUGGGCGUAAAGCGCGUGUAGGUGGCGACGUAAGUCGGGUGUGAAAUCCCUUGGCUCAACCGAGGAAGUGCAUUCGAUACUGUGUCGCUUGAGUACUGGAGGGGAUGGCGGAAUUCCCGGUGUAGAGGUGAAAUUCGUAGAUAUCGGGAGGAACACCUGUGGCGAAGGCGGCCAUCUGGACAACACCUGACACUGAGGCACGAAAGCUAGGGGAGCAAACAGG
Molecule: ribosomal RNA, 253 nt
Filed under: uncultured bacterium
Lineage: Bacteria
Description: partial 16S ribosomal RNA
Rfam family: Bacterial small subunit ribosomal RNA
Source: RNAcentral